GCCAUCUUCCCCUUGUUUUCAGCGCCACCAAAUCAACACUGCAGCCAACCACAAACCUCCCCUGGUCUCCUCCUCAUUGUCCCAUCGAACCAAUCCCCUCCCGAUCCAGAAAACCACCAUCGCCACUGCUCCUCCUCAAUUUCCCAUGCCCAACCAACCGCCGCCACUCUCUCCCUUGUUUUCCUCACCAGCAACAAUAUGAGGCAGCGCUUCCCCUCGUCUCUCUCCACGCCCGUGGCCGAGGAGGAGCGCUCGGCCUCAUCUCAUCGCCCCGGCCUUGUGCAGCUCCUCGUCGCCUCUCUUCUUCCCCGCUGCUCUCUCUCCCUCUCUCUGUAGCAUCUCUGGUGCCUCACUUCUCUCUCUCUCUCACAGGACCAUGCCGGCGACCGGAGCAGCCGCCCUUGCCUCUGAACCCGCGCCCAGUCUUCGUUCUCGUGCCGCUCGUCGCAUGGCCUCUGCUCUUCGCCGGACCUCCUCCUGUUUGGUAUCUACCAGCGCGCCCUUCCUCCUCCUCGUCGUUCAUCACCUGGCUGCCGGAGUCGCAAAAGACCGCCAAGCCCCCCCAUGGUCGCCAGGACCUUCCCCGACCUCGAUCCGCCAAGUCCGCCGGCGGGAACGGCCUUCACCGCUCGGAUCCGUCGAUGCCUCGACCUGCCGCUUCGGAUUCCGAUGACCCCAGUUCGACGUUGCCGCGCCGAGACCCGCUGCCGCCUCGCCGUUGACCUUCAACGUCUCCGUUCUGGCUCUGUCGAGCAGAGGACGAGCAUCGCCUGGGCUGCCUCCCUUGCAAGCAUGUAGGCCAGCCUCGCCCCGGCUCCAGCAGCGCCCUCCGUUCCCUGGGUCGGCCCUUCUCCUCCUCUGCUGUGCCGACCUGGGCCAUGGCCCGUGGUUCCGAUAACGUCGCGUUUGUGAGGAUCCGUUCGACUACGUCUGUUUGUCUUCUUCAUGGACUCGUUCUUCUUCCUUGCGGGAUCUCAGGAAAGAUGACCAUACCCUCGAAAUCACUUCUAUCUUUGCUUGCUAGUUGCUUGCUCUUUUGCUAUGCGUAUGCUGCGAUACCUACCACUUGCUUAUCAUGCCUCCUAUAUUGUUGAACCAAGCCGCUAACCCACCUUGUCCUAG
Molecule: ribosomal RNA, 1122 nt
Filed under: Triticum aestivum (bread wheat)
Lineage: Eukaryota; Viridiplantae; Streptophyta; Magnoliopsida; Poales; Poaceae
Description: partial small subunit ribosomal RNA
Source: RNAcentral